Molecule: ribosomal RNA, 735 nt
Filed under: uncultured Providencia sp.
Lineage: Bacteria; Pseudomonadati; Pseudomonadota; Gammaproteobacteria; Enterobacterales; Morganellaceae
Description: bacterial SSU rRNA
Rfam family: Bacterial small subunit ribosomal RNA
Source: RNAcentral
GGAGCAAACAGGAUUAGAUACCUGGUAGUCACGCUGUAAACGAUGUCGAUUUGGAGGUUGCUCCCUUGAGGAGUGGCUUCCGGAGCUAACGCGUUAAAUCGACCGCUGGGGAGUACGGCCGCAAGGUUAAAACUCAAAUGAAUUGACGGGGGCCCGCACAAGCGGUGGAGCAUGUGGUUUAAUUCGAUGCAACGCGAAGAACCUUACCUACUCUUGACAUCCAGAGAAUUUAGCAGAGAUGCUUUAGUGCCUUCGGGAACUCUGAGACAGGUGCUGCAUGGCUGUCGUCAGCUCGUGUUGUGAAAUGUUGGGUUAAGUCCCGCAACGAGCGCAACCCUUAUCCUUUGUUGCCAGCACAUUAUGGUGGGAACUCAAAGGAGACUGCCGGUGAUAAACCGGAGGAAGGUGGGGAUGACGUCAAGUCAUCAUGGCCCUUACGAGUAGGGCUACACACGUGCUACAAUGGCGUAUACAAAGAGAAGCGACCUCGCGAGAGCAAGCGGAACUCAUAAAGUACGUCGUAGUCCGGAUUGGAGUCUGCAACUCGACUCCAUGAAGUCGGAAUCGCUAGUAAUCGUAGAUCAGAAUGCUACGGUGAAUACGUUCCCGGGCCUUGUACACACCGCCCGUCACACCAUGGGAGUGGGUUGCAGAAGAAAUAGGUAGCUUAACCUUCGGGAGGGCGCUUACCACUUUGUGAUUCAUGACUGGGGUGAAGUCGUAACAAGGUAACCA